This 132-nucleotide ribosomal RNA is filed under the name Vibrio parahaemolyticus. RNAcentral's name for it is "partial 16S ribosomal RNA". It matches the Rfam family "Bacterial small subunit ribosomal RNA", at positions 1411 to 1533 of the family's 1533-position model. The record is from RNAcentral. Lineage: Bacteria; Pseudomonadati; Pseudomonadota; Gammaproteobacteria; Vibrionales; Vibrionaceae.
UGGGCUGCAAAAGAAGUAGGUAGUUUAACCUUCGGGGGGACGCUUACCACUUUGUGGUUCAUGACUGGGGUGAAGUCGUAACAAGGUAGCGCUAGGGGAACCUGGCGCUGGAUCACCUCCUUAAACGAUGAU